RNAcentral lists this ribosomal RNA (627 nucleotides) under uncultured bacterium. RNAcentral describes it as "bacterial SSU rRNA". It matches the Rfam family "Bacterial small subunit ribosomal RNA", at positions 249 to 886 of the family's 1533-position model. The record is from RNAcentral.
UUGGUGAGGUAACGGCCCACCAAGGCGACGACGGGUAGCCGGCCUGAGAGGGUGACCGGCCACACUGGGACUGAGACACGGCCCAGACUCCUACGGGAGGCAGCAGUGGGGAAUAUUGCACAAUGGGCGCAAGCCUGAUGCAGCAACGCCGCGUGAGGGACGACGGCCUUCGGGUUGUAAACCUCUUUUAGUAGGGAAGAAGCGAAAGUGACGGUACCUGCAGAAAAAGCACCGGCUAACUACGUGCCAGCAGCCGCGGUAAUACGUAGGGUGCAAGCGUUAUCCGGAAUUAUUGGGCGUAAAGAGCUCGUAGGCGGAUUGUCGCGUCUGCUGUGAAAACUGGAGGCUCAACCUCCAGCCUGCAGUGGGUACGGGCAGACUAGAGUGCGGUAGGGGAGAUUGGAAUUCCUGGUGUAGCGGUGGAAUGCGCAGAUAUCAGGAGGAACACCGAUGGCGAAGGCAGAUCUCUGGGCCGUAACUGACGCUGAGGAGCGAAAGCAUGGGGAGCGAACAGGAUUAGAUACCCUGGUAGUCCAUGCCGUAAACGUUGGGAACUAGAUGUAGGGACCAUUCCACGGUUUCUGUGUCGCAGCUAACGCAUUAAGUUCCCCGCCUGGGGAGUACGGC